RNAcentral lists this long non-coding RNA (1034 nucleotides) under Amborella trichopoda. RNAcentral describes it as "long non-coding RNA (ATRI_LNC004675)". Lineage: Eukaryota; Viridiplantae; Streptophyta; Magnoliopsida; Amborellales; Amborellaceae. The record is from RNAcentral.
CUGUUACAAUCCUCCUCAAGCUUCUUACAAGGCUCAAACAGUGAGAUAGCAGUGAGCUUCUAAUGGCUCUAACUGUUGGCUCUUAAAGAGAGAGAGAGAGUGAAAAUAAAUGGUGUGAGGGAGAAGAGAGCUUAAUACCUUGUUGGCUGGGUGGCAGUCCAAGGCUGGAUAAGUGGCAAGCACCACACAUGCACAAGGAUAAGUGGCGUAUGUGGCAACAUGCAUCUGGCAAGUGGUAGUGACACGCACGACGCUAGUCCAUUUUGCUCCAUCUUACUGUCGCUUGUGAAAAUUCUUCUUCUUCUUCUUCUUCUUAUACACUCACGGAGCUGCCUCUUUCUCCCCCUUUCACGUGCAGCGUUACGCUCGCGCGUUGCUUCUUUUCUCUCUUCACACACGGUGAUGCCCCUCUCUUCACAGACGAAAUGCCCCAAACGGUGCUGACCAUUCACCUCUUCACGAGCAACGCUGGUAUUCUCUCUCUUCACACGCAGCGAUACCUUUCGUGGACAUCGAUACUCCCUUGACACGCACAGCGGUAAGCUUCCCCUUUUACUGCCGCGCGCGCUUCGUUCCUAUCAAACUCCUACCGUCGUAUGUGCUUCUGUGGCCAGGAAAUCGUGGUCCUUACACUUUUAAUAUUGAAAACCCUCUAAUUGAUCGUCUCGACACCGAGAUGUCUAUCUAUGAAAAAACAGAAAAAGUUUUUAAGUCUCAAAAAUAGUGCAUCUUGCAACACAUUAUCUAGACCGUCCAUUUUCAUGAUUUACAUAUGUUUAUAGAUUUACUCGAUUUUAACCAUUUGUAGGGUUUAAAAUUCUAUAAUUAGAUAUGAAAAUAGAUUUUCAGAUAAUCCAAAGACGUGUUUUAUACAAAAAUUACAUGUUAUGAUAAAAUUUGGAGGUGCACCUUAAUUAGAUUGUUUAAGGUUGCAACCUUAUGGAAACCACAUCCCAUAUAUAAUAUUAUGUUUUAUAUAUAUUAAAUGUGGGUGCGGUUUGUAUAGAGCCGAGGCUCUAAACACUCAAAUUAGA